UCAAAGACAAGGAAGAGAAGAGUAUGCAGGGUGAAGCUUACAGAGAGUUUUCCGCUUAUGGUGUAAGGAAACAGGGAAUCCCUGAGGAAGAUGGUCUUGGAGUCGCAUGGGCAAUCGGAGUUCAUGACGAAUAAGCGCCCGUUACAGCGCAAAGGUAUAACCGGAUGUAUCCGGCGUACUGGAGAAGAUUCGCCAGACUUAGGCGGAUUGUAAAUAGGUGGUAACACGGAAUACAGCUUUCGUCCUAUGG
RNAcentral lists this non-coding RNA (250 nucleotides) under Erysipelotrichaceae bacterium. RNAcentral's name for it is "T-box sequence". It matches the Rfam family "T-box leader". Rfam says of the family: Uncharged tRNA acts as the effector for transcription antitermination of genes in the T-box leader family. The record is from RNAcentral. Lineage: Bacteria; Bacillati; Bacillota; Erysipelotrichia; Erysipelotrichales; Erysipelotrichaceae.